This 96-nucleotide ribosomal RNA is filed under the name Listeria monocytogenes. Lineage: Bacteria; Bacillati; Bacillota; Bacilli; Caryophanales; Listeriaceae. The record is from RNAcentral.
AUGGCGAGAAGGUCACACCCGUUCCCAUCCCGAACACGGUAGUUAAGCUUCUCUGCGCCAAUGGUAGUUGGGGGCUUCCCCCUGCGAGAGUAGGUC